Molecule: ribosomal RNA, 484 nt
Filed under: uncultured bacterium
Lineage: Bacteria
Description: partial 16S ribosomal RNA
Rfam family: Bacterial small subunit ribosomal RNA
Source: RNAcentral
AUUGAACGCUGGCGGCAGGCCUAACACAUGCAAGUCGAGCGGAUGAAGGGAGCUUGCUCCUGGAUUCAGCGGCGGACGGGUGAGUAAUGCCUAGGAAUCUGCCUGGUAGUGGGGGAUAACGUCCGGAAGCGGGCGCUAAUACCGCAUACGUCCUGAGGGAGAAAGUGGGGGAUCUUCGGACCUCACGCUAUCAGAUGAGCCUAGGUCGGAUUAGCUAGUUGGUGGGGUAAAGGCCUACCAAGGCGACGAUCCGUAACUGGUCUGAGAGGAUGAUCAGUCACACUGGAACUGAGACACGGUCCAGACUCCUACGGGAGGCAGCAGUGGGGAAUAUUGGACAAUGGGCGAAAGCCUGAUCCAGCCAUGCCGCGUGUGUGAAGAAGGUCUUCGGAUUGUAAAGCACUUUAAGUUGGGAGGAAGGGCAGUAAGUUAAUACCUUGCUGUUUUGACGUUACCAACAGAAUAAGCACCGGCUAACUUCGCG